This is a long non-coding RNA of Ruditapes philippinarum (Manila clam), 1647 nucleotides long. RefSeq lists it as uncharacterized. The transcript is spliced from 2 exons. Lineage: Eukaryota; Metazoa; Mollusca; Bivalvia; Venerida; Veneridae. The record is from RefSeq and is a predicted model, not a curated record.
GAGUUCUGCAUGGAAUUAAAUUCUUUGAACAAUUUUUAAAGGUGACCACCAAAGGAACAUUCCUCUGAAGUUUGGAUGAAAUUGGCUCAGUGGUUUAUGAGGAGAUGUCAUUUGAAGCAAAAGUUUACGGACGGACGGACGACGGACGGACGACGGACGAAAAGCGAUCACAAAAGCUCACCCUGUCACUUUGUGACAGGUGAGCUAAAAAGUAUCAAACAUUCGGUCUGACAAACCCUUGAAUUUUGUCAGACUGACAAAAAAUCUGUCAGCCCAACACAUUUACAGCAAUUUGAAAACAAGCAAGGUGUAAGAUAACAUUUUAACCUUCGAAUUAAACUCAAUCCCUGUAAUACAUCAAGCAUGCCAUGUUUACUUGUGCUGUAAAUGCCAAUUGUGCAGCUAUCGGUCAUUGGUUUAUUUCAUGAUAUCGGCCACUGCAUGAAAAUAAUUUUUACAGUGCGCAAUGUUCAAGGAAGAGUAAUCUCACAAGCAAAAAUUGUGUAAUUUAUCAUUCUAACACUAUCGGAAAUUUUUCUAUAUAAACAAAGAAGGCCCGAAGCGUGCAUUAUUCUACAACAAUGCACUCGCAGUUCUUAUUAUCUCCCUGUGUAUUUUCACAUUGAGGGCGCCAUUUUUGUGGAAUUUUGUUGUGAAAACUAUCUCUAGAAUAAAAAAAAUGGUCAAACUAAGAAAAUGAAUCCGAACACCAAUAUCUUUAAUUCAGUCGUUAAUGCUGUACAGACGUUUAAAGUGUUGUGUACGUGACGUCACAAUGUAGCGCCAAACAGCACGUGCAAAGCAAUCAAAUCAAAUACGAUAUUUUAAUGUCGCAAACGAGUUAAGUUUUACAUUUAUUCAACUUUUAAUAAUUUGUAUUUUGCUUGAAAAAUUAAAGAGUGAAAUAAAAUAAACAAACAAAGUUUUAUCAACGUUUUCAAAAUUCGUUAUUCUGAAAAUGUUUCUACACACUGUAGAUUGAACGACAGUUUUUUUCAACCCACUCAGGGUUCCCGCUGUCGCUCGCCAAUGGCGCCAAAUGCGACAAUAUAUUAAUUCUGGCGCAUAAAAUCUUUAAUUGGCGAAUUUAACUGGCGCCAACGUUAGAUAAAAGCAUCCGACAACUAGUACACUUAAAUGUCAUAAGCGGCCGCGUUAAUUACAUAAGCGGCCCAAAUGUGAAAGGUCACGCGCUAUUAGUUUAUCAAACUGUAUAAUCGGGUACCGUUUAAUCAAUUAUGUGAUCAAUUAUGUGACACUUCGGGAACAUGUGAAGAUGAAAGUGUCAACGUGUUAAAUGGAAUAAUUUACGUCUUUCAUUCUCUGACAUGUGUGGUCAACAGGUGUUAGUAGCCGACAGAGAAGUGAAAGAUCGUCCGUGAUGUUGACAAACAUUGAACAUUCGAUCACCAGAUUGUCGGGUAGAGGCUGGGAAAGAUCUUGGCUCAGUCCAGCCUGUGAGAAGAACUGCUAUACUGGCAAAAUGGUGGAAAACAGGACCUCCCAUGACUAACUUAACAUGAUGUUUUUGAUUACAUUUAUGCCGUCAUGUGUAUUUAUUUAAAUGGAAUUUGAAAACCACAUAAUAGUAUGUCUAUAUUUUAGAUAAUAAACAUGUGCAGCUGUAAUAAAAUGAAAUAUUAUAAA